CCUACGGGAGGCAGCAGUGGGGAAUCUUGCGCAAUGGGCGAAAGCCUGACGCAGCCAUGCCGCGUGAAUGAUGAAGGUCUUAGGAUUGUAAAAUUCUUUCACCGGGGACGAUAAUGACGGUACCCGGAGAAGAAGCCCCGGCUAACUUCGUGCCAGCAGCCGCGGUAAUACGAAGGGGGCUAGCGUUGCUCGGAAUUACUGGGCGUAAAGGGAGCGUAGGCGGACAUUUAAGUCAGGGGUGAAAUCCCAGAGCUCAACUCUGGAACUGCCUUUGAUACUGGGUGUCUUGAGUGUGAUAGAGGUAUGUGGAACUCCGAGUGUAGAGGUGAAAUUCGUAGAUAUUCGGAAGAACACCAGUGGCGAAGGCGACAUACUGGAUCAUUACUGACGCUGAGGCUCGAAAGCGUGGGGAGCAAACAGGAUUAGAUACCCUGGUAGUCCACGCCGUAAACGAUGAUUGCUAGUUGUUGGGAUGUUUACAUCUCGGUGACGCAGCUAACGCAUUAAGCAAUCCGCCUGGGGAGUACGGUCGCAAGAUUAAAACUUAAAUGAAUUGACGG
Molecule: ribosomal RNA, 560 nt
Filed under: uncultured bacterium
Lineage: Bacteria
Description: bacterial SSU rRNA
Rfam family: Bacterial small subunit ribosomal RNA
Source: RNAcentral